This 500-nucleotide ribosomal RNA is filed under the name uncultured bacterium. RNAcentral describes it as "partial 16S ribosomal RNA". It matches the Rfam family "Bacterial small subunit ribosomal RNA", at positions 30 to 523 of the family's 1533-position model. The record is from RNAcentral.
AUUGAACGCUGGCGGCAUGCUUUACACAUGCAAGUCGAACGGCAGCACGGACUUCGGUCUGGUGGCGAGUGGCGAACGGGUGAGUAAUACAUCGGAACGUGCCCAGUUGUGGGGGAUAACUACUCGAAAGAGUAGCUAAUACCGCAUGAGAACUGAGGUUGAAAGCAGGGGAUCGUAAGACCUUGCGCAACUGGAGCGGCCGAUGGCAGAUUAGGUAGUUGGUGGGAUAAAAGCUUACCAAGCCGACGAUCUGUAGCUGGUCUGAGAGGACGACCAGCCACACUGGGACUGAGACACGGCCCAGACUCCUACGGGAGGCAGCAGUGGGGAAUUUUGGACAAUGGGCGAAAGCCUGAUCCAGCAAUGCCGCGUGCAGGAUGAAGGCCUUCGGGUUGUAAACUGCUUUUGUACGGAACGAAAAGCUUCGGGUUAAUACCCUGGAGUCAUGACGGUACCGUAAGAAUAAGCACCGGCUAACUACGUGCCAGCAGCCGCGGUAA